This 434-nucleotide ribosomal RNA is filed under the name uncultured bacterium. RNAcentral describes it as "partial 16S ribosomal RNA". It matches the Rfam family "Bacterial small subunit ribosomal RNA", at positions 29 to 508 of the family's 1533-position model. The record is from RNAcentral.
AACGAACGCUGGCGGCAUGCCUAACACAUGCAAGUCGAACGAGACCUUCGGGUCUAGUGGCGCAUGGGUGCGUAACGCGUGGGAACCUGCCCUUAGGUUCGGAAUAACUCCCCGAAAGGGGUGCUAAUACCGGAUAAUGUCUUCGGACCAAAGAUUUAUCGCCUUUGGAUGGGCCCGCGUUGGAUUAGCUAGUUGGUAGGGUAAAAGCCUACCAAGGCGACGAUCCAUAGCUGGUCUGAGAGGAUGAUCAGCCACACUGGGACUGAGACACGGCCCAGACUCCUACGGGAGGCAGCAGUGGGGAAUAUUGGACAAUGGGCGAAAGCCUGAUCCAGCAAUGCCGCGUGAGUGAUGAAGGCCUUAGGGUUGUAAAGCUCUUUUACCCGGGAUGAUAAUGACAGUACCGGGAGAAUAAGCUCCGGCUAACUCCGUGC